This is a long non-coding RNA of Bufo bufo (common toad), 133 nucleotides long. RefSeq lists it as uncharacterized. The transcript is spliced from 3 exons. NCBI's taxonomy places the organism in Eukaryota, Metazoa, Chordata, Amphibia, Anura, Bufonidae. The record is from RefSeq and is a predicted model, not a curated record.
UGUGAUUGCAGUUUGGGGCACUAGAUCCGGCUAUCUCCUCAGAGUGGCUUUUAACUUGAGUUCAACAUAAAACAUCUACUCUCUGAACAGAACAUCCCGUAGGCUUCCCAGACUGCACAUGCUAUUCUUGCUU